Long non-coding RNA from Stegostoma tigrinum, 509 nucleotides. RefSeq lists it as uncharacterized. The record is from RefSeq and is a predicted model, not a curated record. NCBI's taxonomy places the organism in Eukaryota, Metazoa, Chordata, Chondrichthyes, Orectolobiformes, Stegostomatidae. The transcript is spliced from 4 exons.
GGAUUACUGACAGUCGGCGCCAGAUCGAAUUGUUCUGUUAAAAUUUGUGUUGGAGCAACGCUGGCCUUUGGAGGAGGCAAACCGGAGGAGAUUCACCUCAGCCUGCAAGUCAGGACUGCAACUGUUUUGACACCAUGACGUAACCAGUGUAAGACUCUUUUUAUCAGGGAGGCAAACCGAUUGGGCACUCUCAUUCCGAUUACAAUGCCAGCACUUUUACCAUACCAUCCCAAUUCACCAUUAAUAGAUGUGAUUCGGAACAGGGAAGGUCACCCAAUUCUACAAUUCAGACCAGUGGAAAAAUGAUAAUUGGUUUUAAACAGAAUUUCAGUAGCUGAUAAGCCACCCAAUAGCACAUACCAAAGGAACAGACAGAAUCAUCUGAACACUCAUGUCUAUCAAACUCCAUAAACAGGUAUUUCUCUAUGUUUUAAUGAGGUCUAUGUUUCUAAUGCAUUUAUAGUAGCAAUAAAACCUCCUGUACAAUGUGUUCAUUGUAAUUAAUGUGA